GUCUCUGCGGUGAUCUGCUCCAAACCCCACCCUCCGUGGGUCUCCAGGUACAGCUUGUUCACCACGGGGAGCACCUUCUCCGAGAUGUUGAGUUGGACGCCGCCGGUCUGUGCAAGACCUGGGAGCCAGCACAACCGAGGCUUGCAUCCCACUUAUGCCACCAAAUAGGAUUUGGGAGAUUAUUUUGGAAGCAAAGCUCACCAAAUUUGCUGUGGACUGGAAACUCAGGAGUAGGCUCCUUACCUCCAGGAAGCUUCUGGAUCUGAACUGCAGGGUUGUGAGGGCCUCAUCUGCCCAGCCGUAGAAGAUGGAUAAUGACGUAGGUGGUGUUUCUCACCUCGGGUUUUAUAACUCCCAGGGGAGUUUUAAACAAUGUAUUGCUACCCGGGCCCCCUUCCAUAUGUUCUGAAUCAAUUGUGAAGGCUUUUGGUUUUCCUGUUUCUUUUAACCGGCGCUUCCUUUCUCGUCUUCCUCCUGCCUGGAGCUCACACACGUGCUUGGACCUGGGGCAGCCACUGGGCAACCACGGAGGAAGUCCAAGAGAAUUGCAAAAGCUGGCCUUGGUGUCCCCGAGCUGCUAAACUAGAGCCUGCAGCUGCCUUUCUCGUACAAAGAGCAGUGCCUAUUUGCCUAAGCUACUGUGUGGAUCGAGUGUUUGUUCCUCGAAACCCCAAACGGCCGGCUUUCCCCACAGUUUAAAGCAAAGCCCAGGGGCGCCUGGGUGGCUCAGUUGGUUGCGCGACCGACUUCGGCUCGGCUCACGAUCUCACGGUUUGUGAGUUCGAGCCCCGCGUCGGCCUCUGGGCUGACGGCUCUCUCUGCCCCUC
Long non-coding RNA from Felis catus (domestic cat), 827 nucleotides. RefSeq lists it as uncharacterized. The transcript has 3 exons. The record is from RefSeq and is a predicted model, not a curated record. NCBI's taxonomy places the organism in Eukaryota, Metazoa, Chordata, Mammalia, Carnivora, Felidae.